GGGGAUGUGGCUUAGUGGUAGAGUGCUUGCCUAGCAUGCAUGAAGCCCUGGGUUCGAUUCCUCAGUACCA
RNAcentral lists this transfer RNA (70 nucleotides) under Dipodomys ordii (Ord's kangaroo rat). It matches the Rfam family "tRNA". Rfam says of the family: Transfer RNA (tRNA) molecules are approximately 80 nucleotides in length. The record is from Rfam by way of RNAcentral. Lineage: Eukaryota; Metazoa; Chordata; Mammalia; Rodentia; Heteromyidae.